RNAcentral lists this ribosomal RNA (218 nucleotides) under uncultured Lactobacillus sp. RNAcentral describes it as "partial 16S ribosomal RNA". It matches the Rfam family "Bacterial small subunit ribosomal RNA", at positions 144 to 354 of the family's 1533-position model. Lineage: Bacteria; Bacillati; Bacillota; Bacilli; Lactobacillales; Lactobacillaceae. The record is from RNAcentral.
UAACACCUGGAAACAGAUGCUAAUACCGGAUAACAACAGAUGAUGCCUAUCAACUGUUUAAAAGAUGGUUCUGCUAUCACUCUUGGAUGGACCUGCGGUGCAUUAGCUAGUUGGUAGGGUAACGGCCUACCAAGGCGAUGAUGCAUAGCCGAGUUGAGAGACUGAUCGGCCACAUUGGGACUGAGACACGGCCCAAACUCCUACGGGAGGCAGCAGNU